RNAcentral lists this ribosomal RNA (414 nucleotides) under uncultured bacterium. Its description in RNAcentral is "partial 16S ribosomal RNA". The stretch from base 1 to 312 matches the Rfam family "Bacterial small subunit ribosomal RNA", at positions 1204 to 1533 of the family's 1533-position model. The record is from RNAcentral.
AUGUGUUGGGCUACACACGUGUUACAAUGGUAGAGACAGAAGUAACUACAGCUAGUGCUUAAGUGAAUCUUUAAAAUCUACCUCAGUUCGGAUUGUUCCUUGAAAUUCAGGAGCAUGAAGCUGGAAUCGUUAGUAAUCGUAAAUAAGAACGUUACGGUGAAUGUUCUAUCAAAUUUUGCACACACCGCCCAUCACGCCCGGAGAGGCGAGUAGGCCGGGAGACAACUUUUAAAGAAAGGUCGGUAACUGUAAUUUUAGGUAAAACUAAACUCGGUUGCUGCUGUCCGCCCACUGGCAAUGAAUUUCUCAUAUGUUUGAGAAGUCGGCUUGUAUCUGAGCACCGUUUUUUAUUUUACUUUUUGGUGCCACUAGCUAAAUAUGUUUGAGCAGGUAUACGGGCCCGACCAACGGGGU